ACAUAGGUUAACGAGGCGAACCGGGGGAACUGAAACAUCUAAGUACCCCGAGGAAAAGAAAUCAACCGAGAUUCCCCCAGUAGCGGCGAGCGAACGGGGAGCAGCCCAGAGUCUGAAUCAGCUUGUGUGUUAGUGGAACGGUCUGGAAAGUCCGACGGUACAGGGUGAUAGUCCCGUACACCAAAAUGCACAGGCUGUGAACUCGAAGAGUAGGGCGGGACACGUGGUAUCCUGUCUGAAUAUGGGGGGACCAUCCUCCAAGGCUAAAUACUCCUGACUGACCGAUAGUGAACCAGUACCGUGAGGGAAAGGCGAAAAGAACCCCGGCGAGGGGAGUGAAAAAGAACCUGAAACCGUGUACGUACAAGCAGUGGGAGCACCUUCGGGUGUGACUGCGUACCUUUUGUAUAAUGGGUCAGCGACUUAUAUUCUGUAGCAAGGUUAACCGUAUAGGGGAGCCGCAGGGAAACCGAGUCUUAACUGGGCGUUAAGUUGCAGGGUAUAGACCCGAAACCCGGUGAUCUAGCCAUGGGCAGGUUGAAGGUUGGGUAACACUAACUGGAGGACCGAACCGACUAAUGUUGAAAAAUUAGCGGAUGACUUGUGGCUGGGGGUGAAAGGCCAAUCAAACCGGGAGAUAGCUGGUUCUCCCCGAAAGCUAUUUAGGUAGCGCCUCGUGAACUCAUCUUCGGGGGUAGAGCACUGUUUCGGCUAGGGGGUCAUCCCGACUUACCAACCCGAUGCAAACUACGAAUACCGAAGAAUGUUAUCACGGGAGACACACGGCGGGUGCUAACGUCCGUCGUGAAGAGGGAAACAACCCAGACCGCCAGCUAAGGUCCCAAAGUCAUGGUUAAGUGGGAAACGAUGUGGGAAGGCACAGACAGCCAGGAUGUUGGCUUAGAAGCAGCCAUCAUUUAAAGAAAGCGUAAUAGCUCACUGGUCGAGUCGGCCUGCGCGGAAGAUGUAACGGGGCUAAACCAUGCACCGAAGCUGCGGCAGCGACACUAUGUGUUGUUGGGUAGGGGAGCGUUCUGUAAGCCUGCGAAGGUGUGCUGUGAGGCAUGCUGGAGGUAUCAGAAGUGCGAAUGCUGACAUAAGUAACGAUAAAGCGGGUGAAAAGCCCGCUCGCCGGAAGACCAAGGGUUCCUGUCCAACGUUAAUCGGGGCAGGGUGAGUCGACCCCUAAGGCGAGGCCGAAAGGCGUAGUCGAUGGGAAACAGGUUAAUAUUCCUGUACUUGGUGUUACUGCGAAGGGGGGACGGAGAAGGCUAUGUUAGCCGGGCGACGGUUGUCCCGGUUUAAGCAUGUAGGCUGAUUGUCCAGGCAAAUCCGGAUAAUCAAGGCUGAGGUGUGAUGACGAGGCACUACGGUGCUGAAGUAACAAAUGCCCUGCUUCCAGGAAAAGCCUCUAAGCAUCAGGUAACAUCAAAUCGUACCCCAAACCGACACAGGUGGUCAGGUAGAGAAUACCAAGGCGCUUGAGAGAACUCGGGUGAAGGAACUAGGCAAAAUGGUGCCGUAACUUCGGGAGAAGGCACGCUGGUGUGUAGGUGAAGUCCCUGCGGAUGGAGCUGAGACCAGUCGAAGAUACCAGCUGGCUGCAACUGUUUAUUAAAAACACAGCACUGUGCAAACACGAAAGUGGACGUAUACGGUGUGACGCCUGCCCGGUGCCGGAAGGUUAAUUGAUGGGGUUAUCCGUAAGGAGAAGCUCUUGAUCGAAGCCCCGGUAAACGGCGGCCGUAACUAUAACGGUCCUAAGGUAGCGAAAUUCCUUGUCGGGUAAGUUCCGACCUGCACGAAUGGCGUAAUGAUGGCCAGGCUGUCUCCACCCGAGACUCAGUGAAAUUGAACUCGCUGUGAAGAUGCAGUGUACCCGCGGCAAGACGGAAAGACCCCGUGAACCUUUACUAUAGCUUGACACUGAACAUUGAGCCUUGAUGUGUAGGAUAGGUGGGAGGCUUUGAAGCGUGGACGCCAGUCUGCGUGGAGCCAACCUUGAAAUACCACCCUUUAAUGUUUGAUGUUCUAACGUUGGCCCCUGACCGGGGUUGCGGACAGUGUCUGGUGGGUAGUUUGACUGGGGCGGUCUCCUCCCAAAGCGUAACGGAGGAGCACGAAGGUUAGCUAAUCCUGGUCGGACAUCAGGAGGUUAGUGCAAUGGCAUAAGCUAGCUUGACUGCGAGCGUGACGGCGCGAGCAGGUGCGAAAGCAGGUCAUAGUGAUCCGGUGGUUCUGAAUGGAAGGGCCAUCGCUCAACGGAUAAAAGGUACUCCGGGGAUAACAGGCUGAUACCGCCCAAGAGUUCAUAUCGACGGCGGUGUUUGGCACCUCGAUGUCGGCUCAUCACAUCCUGGGGCUGAAGUAGGUCCCAAGGGUAUGGCUGUUCGCCAUUUAAAGUGGUACGCGAGCUGGGUUUAGAACGUCGUGAGACAGUUCGGUCCCUAUCUGCCGUGGGCGCUGGAGAAUUGAGGGGGGCUGCUCCUAGUACGAGAGGACCGGAGUGGACGCAUCACUGGUGUUCGGGUUGUCAUGCCAAUGGCACUGCCCGGUAGCUAAAUGCGGAAGAGAUAAGUGCUGAAAGCAUCUAAGCACGAAACUUGCCCCGAGAUGAGUUCUCCCUGAGACUUUAAGUCUCCUGAAGGAACGUUGAAGACGACGACGUUGAUAGGCCGGGUGUGUAAGCGCAGCGAUGCGUUGAGCUAACCGGUACUAAUGAACCGUGAGGCUUAACCUUACAACGCCGAAG
Molecule: ribosomal RNA, 2752 nt
Filed under: Klebsiella pneumoniae
Lineage: Bacteria; Pseudomonadati; Pseudomonadota; Gammaproteobacteria; Enterobacterales; Enterobacteriaceae
Description: partial 23S ribosomal RNA
Rfam family: Bacterial large subunit ribosomal RNA
Source: RNAcentral